RNAcentral lists this ribosomal RNA (445 nucleotides) under uncultured bacterium. Its description in RNAcentral is "partial 16S ribosomal RNA". It matches the Rfam family "Bacterial small subunit ribosomal RNA", at positions 354 to 796 of the family's 1533-position model. The record is from RNAcentral.
GUAGGGAAUAUUGGGCAAUGGAGGCAACUCUGACCCAGCCAUGCCGCGUGCAGGAAGACGGUCCUCUGGAUUGUAAACUGCUUUUGAAUGGGAAGAACACUACCCUUGCGAGGGUAUUUGACGGUACUAUUAGAAUAAGCACCGGCUAACUCCGUGCCAGCAGCCGCGGUAAUACGGAGGGUGCAAGCGUUAUCCGGAUUUAUUGGGUUUAAAGGGUGCGUAGGCGGCUUGAUAAGUCUGGGGUUAAAGGCGGCAGCUUAACUGUACGCAUGCCCUAGAUACUGUUGAGCUUGAGUGACCUGGAGGUAGCUGGAAUUCCCUGUGUAGCGGUGAAAUGCAUAGAUACGGGGAGGAAUACCGAUUGCGAAGGCAUGUUACUACGGGUAAACUGACGCUGAUGCACGAAAGCGUGGGGAUCAAACAGGAUUAGAAACCCCUGUAGUCC